RNAcentral lists this unclassified non-coding RNA (50 nucleotides) under Bombyx mori (domestic silkworm). Its description in RNAcentral is "3'UTR from Bombyx mori (PDB 8IBW, chain D)". Lineage: Eukaryota; Metazoa; Arthropoda; Insecta; Lepidoptera; Bombycidae. The record is from RNAcentral.
GUAGAUCAGGCCCGUCUGAUCCAAUUUCGCCGGCGUACCCGGCGAUGAAA